Salvia splendens (bonfire salvia) is the source of this 407-nucleotide long non-coding RNA. RefSeq lists it as uncharacterized. Lineage: Eukaryota; Viridiplantae; Streptophyta; Magnoliopsida; Lamiales; Lamiaceae. The transcript has 3 exons. The record is from RefSeq and is a predicted model, not a curated record.
GGAAUGGCCAGUUCACAGAUGUCUUCUUCCGAUGUCCAUUAUAUCUAUAAAGAAACAAGAAGGAGAAGAUCUGGUGAGGAAGUAGACAACUUCUCAAAAGAUGAAAAAGACUUGAUUUUGAGGAUGUAUGAGCUAGUGGGAGGGAGAUGGUCGAUAAUUGCUGGAAGAAGUGGUGGGGAAAUCAAGAACUACUGCGAAGCUCAUUUUUCAGACAAGAAAUGAGUAAGAUGGCAUUAAUAUGUAUAUGUAAAAUAAUUUCGAAUCUAUGUUAUGUUUCUUAUUGUUUUAGUGCGAUUCUUGAAACGAAAAGGGAUAGAAGGAAGCUACGUCGACUUUCCACAUAAAGGCUUUGUGUCCAUCCAAAUUACAGCGAUUGAUUAUAUUACUUAUUUUGAUUUUUUUAACAA